Molecule: ribosomal RNA, 753 nt
Filed under: Gobioecetes longibasis
Lineage: Eukaryota; Metazoa; Platyhelminthes; Monogenea; Dactylogyridea; Dactylogyridae
Description: partial 28S ribosomal RNA
Rfam family: Eukaryotic large subunit ribosomal RNA
Source: RNAcentral
CCAGGAUUCUCCCAGUAACGGCGAGUGAACGGAGAUUAGCCCAUCACCGAAGCCCAUCUGCUUUUGCGGACAGGGCAAUGUGGUGUUAGGGCGUGUACCUGGGGUCGCUGUUGUGCUCGAAGUCCGACUUCGAUUACGGCUUGGAAGAUUCCCAUAGCGGGUGAAAGGCCCGUGCGGGUGCUUCUAGCGGCUCUCAGACGUGCGCGCCUACGAGUCGGAUUGCUUGAGAAUGCAGUCCAAAGUGGGUGGUAAACUCCAUCCAAGGCUAAAUACUGGCAUGAGUCCGAUAGUAGACAAGUACCGUGAGGGAAAGUUGAAAAGUACUCUGAAGAGAGAGUAAAUAGUACGUGAAGCCGCUUGCAGGGAAGCUGGUGGAGUCAAGCUUCAUGCCCUUUCAAUUGUUGUCAGAGGACCUCGUGCUCUGGACGGAGUCGGUCGAACUGUAAACGUUCGGAUACAUCAGUGUAUCUCGAGGCGCACCAGGUAGUGUGCUCGUGCCGACUCUAUAUCCUUUCCUCUGGCAGUGUAUUGGUUGGGCAUAAAUCACGAUGGACAGUCGUCGUGCUGUGUGAUGGUCUAACUGCGUCGUGGCGGGCUUCAUCGCUUGCUCGGCGCAGGACGGCAGGUAGCGGGUGUAGCCUCGUGUUGCACUCGCCUAUAAUGGUCUCGACCUGCUGAUCAUCACGCUAUGCAGUAUCGACAUUGUCUUUUCUUCUAGGUGCUCUGUCCAUGGACCGAGUGCCAUAAGAGUCG